This 399-nucleotide ribosomal RNA is filed under the name uncultured bacterium. Its description in RNAcentral is "bacterial SSU rRNA". It matches the Rfam family "Bacterial small subunit ribosomal RNA", at positions 1 to 333 of the family's 1533-position model. The record is from RNAcentral.
GCCNGUCCCGAAUGCCNCUACCAGGNUUAAAUUUGAUCCUGGCUCAGAGUCAACGCUGNUNAAGUAUGCCUAACACAUGCAAGUCGAACGGCAGCACAGUGAGAGCUUGCUCUCUGGGUGGCGAGUGGCGUGACGGGUGAGGAAUACAUCGGAAUCUACUCUGUCGUGGGGGAUAACGUAGUGGAAACUUACGCUAAUACCUGCAUACGACCUACGUGGUGAAAGCAGUGGUGAUCUUCGGACCUUGCGCGAUUUGAAUGAGCCGAUGUCGGAUUAGCUAGUUGGCGGGGGUAAAGNGCCCAACCAAAGUGCCGACGAUCCGUAGCCUGGUCUUGAGCAGGAUGAAUCCAAGCCCACACUUGGAAAACUGGAAGGGAAACCAAAACCGGGGUUUCCCCA